UACGGGGGGGGCAAGCGUUGUUCGGAAUUACUGGGCGUAAAGGGCGCGUAGGCGGCCUUCUAAGUCGAACGUGAAAUCCCCGGGCUCAACCCGGGAACUGCGUCCGAUACUGGAAGGCUUGAAUCCGGGAGAGGGAUGUGGAAUUCCAGGUGUAGCGGUGAAAUGCGUAGAUAUCUGGAGGAACACCGGUGGCGAAGGCGACAUCCUGGACCGGUAUUGACGCUGAGGCGCGAAAGCCAGGGGAGCAAACGGG
RNAcentral lists this ribosomal RNA (253 nucleotides) under uncultured bacterium. RNAcentral describes it as "partial 16S ribosomal RNA". It matches the Rfam family "Bacterial small subunit ribosomal RNA", at positions 524 to 776 of the family's 1533-position model. The record is from RNAcentral.